AUACAGGCGAAGUCACUGAUCCCAUGCUGCCGAGAAAAGCCUCUAGCGAGCUCACGUGGUGCCCGUACCCCAAACCAACACAGGUGGGCAGGUAGAGAAUACCAAGGCGAUCGGGAGAACUAUGGUAAGGAACUCGGCAAAAUACCUCCGUAACUUCGGGAGAAGGUGGACCCCAGUAGGGUGACGGACUUCGCGUCCUGAGCCCGAAGGGGUGGCAGAUACUAGGGGAAAGCGACUGUUUACUAAAAACACAGCAGCGUGCGAAGCCGCAAGGCGAUGUAUACGCUGUGACGCCUGCCCGGUGCCGGAAGGUUACGGGGAAGGGUCAGCCCUUUGGGGCGAAGCUCUGAACCUAAGCCCCGGUAAACGGCGGCCGUAACUAUAACGGUCCUAAGGUAGCGAAAUUCCUUGUCGGGUAAGUUCCGACCUGCACGAAUGGCGUAACGACUUUCCUACUGCCUCAACCAUAGGCCCGGCGAAAUUGAAGUACGAGUAAAGAUGCUCGUUAGCUGCAGAAGGACGGAAAGACCCCGUGGACCUUUACUACAGCCUGAUAUUGGGUUUUGGUAUAUGUUGUGUAGGAUAGGUGGGAGACUUGGAAGCGUCGGCGCUAGCCGGCGUGGAGUCACCCUUGAAAUACCACCCUGCAUAUGCCGGAACUCUAACCUAGAUCCGUUAUCCGGAUUGGGGACAGUGGCAGGUGGGUAGUUUGACUAGGGCGGUCGCCUCCUAAAGAGUAACGGAGGCGCCCAAAGGUUCCCUCAGGCUGGUUGGCAAUCAGCCGUCGAGUGCAAUGGCACAAGGGAGCUUGACUGCGAGACAUACAUGUCGAGCAGGUGCGAAAGCAGGGCAUAGUGAUCCGGCGGUUGCGUGUGGAAGCGCCGUCGCUCAACGGAUAAAAGGUACCCCGGGGAUAACAGGCUCAUCUUCCCCAAGAGUCCAUAUCGACGGGAAGGUUUGGCACCUCGAUGUCGGCUCAUCGCAUCCUGGGGCCGUAGCAGGUCCCAAGGGUUGGGCUGUUCGCCCAUUAAAGCGGUACGCGAGCUGGGUUUAGAACGUCGUGAGACAGUUCGGCCCCUAUCCUCUGCAGCCGGAGGGAAUUUGAGGAAAGCUGUCCCUAGUACGAGAGGACCGGGACGGACGCAGCUCUCGUGUGCCAGUUGUCCUGCCAAGGGCACGGCUGGUUAGCGACCUGCGGAAGGGAUAAGCGCUGAAAGCAUCUAAGUGCGAAGCCUGUUCCUAGAUGAGAUUCCCCACUGGGUUAACCAGGUAAGGCCCGUGACCAGACGAUCACGUUGAUAGGCCGGAGGUGUAAGCACAGCAAUGUGUUCAGCCGACCAGUACUAAUCGGCCGAGGGCUUGGAUUU
This 1367-nucleotide ribosomal RNA is filed under the name metagenome. RNAcentral's name for it is "bacterial LSU rRNA". It matches the Rfam family "Bacterial large subunit ribosomal RNA", at positions 1579 to 2925 of the family's 2925-position model. The record is from RNAcentral.